This 888-nucleotide ribosomal RNA is filed under the name uncultured bacterium. RNAcentral's name for it is "bacterial SSU rRNA". It matches the Rfam family "Bacterial small subunit ribosomal RNA", at positions 51 to 923 of the family's 1533-position model. The record is from RNAcentral.
AUACAUGCAAGUCGAACGAGAAAGUACCUUCGGGUGCGAGUACAGUGGCGGACGGGUGAGUAACGCGUAGGAAUCUACCUUUAGGUGGGGGACAACUCGGGGAAACUCGAGCUAAUACCGCAUAAUAUCUUUCCAUUUGGAGGGAUCAAAGUGGGGGAUCUUCGGACCUCACGCCGAGAGAGGAGCCUGCGUUGGAUUAGUUUGUUGGUGGGGUAAUGGCCCACCAAGACUACGAUCUAUAGCUGGUCUGAGAGGACGAUCAGCCACACUGGAACUGAGACACGGUCCAGACUCCUACGGGAGGCAGCAGUAGGGAAUCUUGGGCAAUGGGCGAAAGCCUGACCCAGCGAUGCCGCGUGUGCGAAGAAGGCCCUAGGGUUGUAAAGCACUUUCAGUCGCGAAGAAAAGCUUCAGAUUAAUACUCUGGAGUCUUGACGUUAACGACAGAAGAAGUACCGGCUAACUCCGUGCCAGCAGCCGCGGUAAUACGGAGGGUACGAACGUUAAUCGGAAUUACUGGGCGUAAAGCGCGCGUAGGCGGUUUGAUAAGUGGGAUGUGAAAGCCCCGGGCUCAACCUGGGAACUGCAUUCCAAACUGUCAAACUAGAGUAUGGUAGAGGGUGGUAGAAUUUCCUGUGUAGCGGUGAAAUGCGUAGAUAUAGGAAGGAAUACCGAUGGCGAAGGCAGCCACCUGGACCAAUACUGACGCUGAGGUGCGAAAGCGUGGGGAGCAAACAGGAUUAGAUACCCUGGUAGUCCACGCCGUAAACGAUGACAACUAGCCGUUGGGACCCUUGAGGUCUUGGUGGCGAAGCUAACGCGAUAAGUUGUCCGCCUGGGGAGUACGGGCCGCAAGGUUAAAACUCAAAUGAAUUUGACGGGGGCCCG